Molecule: transfer RNA, 73 nt
Filed under: Urbifossiella limnaea
Lineage: Bacteria; Pseudomonadati; Planctomycetota; Planctomycetia; Gemmatales; Gemmataceae
Description: Planctomycetes bacterium ETA_A1 tRNA-Pro
Rfam family: tRNA
About the family: Transfer RNA (tRNA) molecules are approximately 80 nucleotides in length. Their secondary structure includes four short double-helical elements and three loops (D, anti-codon, and T loops).
Source: RNAcentral
CAGGGUGUGGGUCAGAGGUUGACCACGGGUUUCGGGUACCCGCCUAUGCAGGUUCGAGUCCUGCCUCCCUGAC